Long non-coding RNA from Gossypium raimondii (Peruvian cotton), 1404 nucleotides. RefSeq lists it as uncharacterized. Lineage: Eukaryota; Viridiplantae; Streptophyta; Magnoliopsida; Malvales; Malvaceae. The record is from RefSeq and is a predicted model, not a curated record. The transcript has 5 exons.
GCUAUCCUUUAAUGAAAAACUUUCCCCUUUCUUCAAUCUGGAGGAUAUGGCCAAAGAUUUCCUACCGUUCUCCGAACCGCUUCUGGGACUUCCUUCUCCAGGUAAAAACUUUCUCCUCUUCUAAGAGCCUCAUUUGCUAUAGUAUGGGCAUAAAUAUUCUGUUCUUUGGGAAUGAAAGUAAACUCGAUCUCCUGGAACCUGUUUUUUAGACUUUGGAUAUCUGUGAUAAUUGCUCCAAUGACUGAUUUAUCUGAGAAGAAGCUUUGGCAUUUCUUGAUAACAGUUUUGGAGUCUCCUAAAACGGUUAAUUUAUUGACUCCCAGUCUAAUCCCUAAUUUUAUUACCUGUAAUCCUGCAUAUGCCUCUACUGUGAAUGGAUCUGCGAUGUUGGAGUGAAUGACUGCCUGUGAUGCAAGAAUCUCUUUGUUCUCGUUCCGUACUAUUAUACCGGAAGCUGAUCUAAACCCCAGGCGUUCGUAAGCUGCAUCGAAAUGAAUGGAGGUCCAUCCCUUUUUGUAUAUCUGUUGGAGAUUGCCAGAUGAAUGGAGAAUGAUUUCUGCUAAACCAAAUGAACCAAAGGCUACAGCAAAAAAGUUGAAGCUGCUCUUCAUUACCUCGAUCAAAAACCCAGGGCACUCAAUAAAAAUAUGCCAGCUAUUUUCUUCAGCAGAACCGCACCUGGGGCAAAGAGUGUUUAUCACUACCCUCUUUAUUUUGAGAUUGACAAAGGAAGGGAUAAAAUCCCAAGAAAUCCUCCAAAUUGUCAUCUAAAUUUUUGUAGGGAUAUGUAACUUCCAUAAUUUGUUGUAAAAAGUUUUUGUCUCGGUCUGUAAUAAUAAAUCAUUAGGAUCCAGAUUAGAACCAUGUAAUAGUUUAUAGGCACUCCUCACCGAGAACUCCCCUGUCGGUUCUCCUCUCCAAACUUGAAGAUCUUCUUGUUCUGUCUCCUCAAGAGGGAUUUUUAAUAUUUGCUCCGCAACAUCUGGUUGAAAGCUGCAAUCCCCGGUAUCCAUGAAUCUCUCCGUAUGGAAAUUUGAUCACCUCUCCCCACCCUCCAACAGCGUCCAUUAUUAAGAAGUCCUCUCGCAGCCCAUAUACUUUUCCAGGUAAAAGAAGGAUCUCUUCUUCUUCUUCAUCAAGAGAUAAACCCGCAAAUUCUGAUUCCAUGGAUGUUGUACUCGAAGCCUCCGUUAAAGACAUCACUUCAAAUAAAUGGAGAUGAGCGCCGCCAGAAGAAAACCAGAAGAAAAAACUUGCCAGAGAGGCAAACAGAGACGUGCUAGGGUAGCAGACUUUUUUAAUUAUUAAACUCAUUCAAAAACCUAGUAAAUUUAUAUAUAUAUAUAUAGUUUCAAUUAAAAUUAUUUAUACCAACAAAUGUUGGGUAUAUUGUACUUUCAAAGA